This 436-nucleotide ribosomal RNA is filed under the name uncultured Oscillospiraceae bacterium. RNAcentral describes it as "bacterial SSU rRNA". It matches the Rfam family "Bacterial small subunit ribosomal RNA", at positions 341 to 792 of the family's 1533-position model. Lineage: Bacteria; Bacillati; Bacillota; Clostridia; Eubacteriales; Oscillospiraceae. The record is from RNAcentral.
ACGGGAGGCAGCAGUGGGGAAUAUUGGGCAAUGGACGAAAGUCUGACCCAGCGACGCCGCGUGAAGGAUGAAGGUCUUCGGAUUGUAAACUUUAGUACUCAGGGACGAAACAAAUGACGGUACCUGAGGUUAAGCCACGGCUAACUACGUGCCAGCAGCCGCGGUAAUACGUAGGUGGCGAGCGUUAUCCGGAUUUACUGGGUGUAAAGGGUGUGUAGGCGGUUUUGCAAGUCAGAUGUGAAAAUUACGGGCUCAACUCGUAACCUGCAUUUGAAACUGCAUGACUUGAGUAUCGGAGAGGUAAACGGAAUUUCCAGUGUAGCGGUGAAAUGCGUAGAUAUUGGAAAGAACACCAGUGGCGAAGGCGGUUUACUGGACGACAACUGACGCUGAGACACGAAAGCGUGGGGAGCAAACAGGAUUAGAUACCCUGGUA